This 420-nucleotide ribosomal RNA is filed under the name uncultured Flavobacteriaceae bacterium. RNAcentral's name for it is "bacterial SSU rRNA". It matches the Rfam family "Bacterial small subunit ribosomal RNA", at positions 356 to 773 of the family's 1533-position model. Lineage: Bacteria; Pseudomonadati; Bacteroidota; Flavobacteriia; Flavobacteriales; Flavobacteriaceae. The record is from RNAcentral.
GAGGAAUAUUGGACAAUGGAGGCAACUCUGAUCCAGCCAUGCCGCGUGCAGGAAGACUGCCCUAUGGGUUGUAAACUGCUUUUAUACAGGAAGAAACAUCUCUACGUGUAGAGGCUUGACGGUACUGUAAGAAUAAGGAUCGGCUAACUCCGUGCCAGCAGCCGCGGUAAUACGGAGGAUCCAAGCGUUAUCCGGAAUCAUUGGGUUUAAAGGGUCCGUAGGUGGAUAAUUAAGUCAGAGGUGAAAUCCUGCAGCUUAACUGUAGAAUUGCCUUUGAUACUGGUUGUCUUGAGUUGUUAUGAAGUAGUUAGAAUAUGUAGUGUAGCGGUGAAAUGCAUAGAUAUUACAUAGAAUACCAAUUGCGAAGGCAGAUUACUAAUAAUAUACUGACACUGAUGGACGAAAGCGUGGGGAGCGAAC